CUUUGAAGUGUGGACGCCAGUCUGCAUGGAGCCGACCUUGAAAUACCACCCUUUAAUGUUUGAUGUUCUAACGUUGACCCGUAAUCCGGGUUGCGGACAGUGUCUGGUGGGUAGUUUGACUGGGGCGGUCUCCUCCUAAAGAGUAACGGAGGAGCACGAAGGUUGGCUAAUCCUGGUCGGACAUCAGGAGGUUAGUGCAAUGGCAUAAGCCAGCUUGACUGCGAGCGUGACGGCGCGAGCAGGUGCGAAAGCAGGUCAUAGUGAUCCGGUGGUUCUGAAUGGAAGGGCCAUCGCUCAACGGAUAAAAGGUACUCCGGGGAUAACAGGCUGAUACCGCCCAAGAGUUCAUAUCGACGGCGGUGUUUGGCACCUCGAUGUCGGCUCAUCACAUCCUGGGGCUGAAGUAGGUCCCAAGGGUAUGGCUGUUCGCCAUUUAAAGUGGUACGCGAGCUGGGUUUAGAACGUCGUGAGACAGUUCGGUCCCUAUCUGCCGUGGGCGCUGGAGAACUGAGGGGGGCUGCUCCUAGUACGAGAGGACCGGAGUGGACGCAUCACUGGUGUUCGGGUUGUCAUGCCAAUGGCACUGCCCGGUAGCUAAAUGCGGAAGAGAUAAGUGCUGAAAGCAUCUAAGCACGAAACUUGCC
This 644-nucleotide ribosomal RNA is filed under the name Escherichia coli. Its description in RNAcentral is "partial 23S ribosomal RNA". It matches the Rfam family "Bacterial large subunit ribosomal RNA", at positions 2155 to 2798 of the family's 2925-position model. Lineage: Bacteria; Pseudomonadati; Pseudomonadota; Gammaproteobacteria; Enterobacterales; Enterobacteriaceae. The record is from RNAcentral.